UACCUCCUGACUGAGCUAACGGGAGACAGAUGAUGAACGGCGCGGCGCCUUCGGACUGCCGCCACGCCGUUUGUGCGUUCCCGUACAGUGCCAAUUAUUGUUGCGCACUCCGCGUCCGACGUUCCACCGGGUACCCGUUCCCGGGUCCUGACAAAACGGUUCCCGGCUGGCACGGUAAGCGGUUUCAAACCGCGUCAAAAAGAAUGAGAUUCACAGCUCAUCGGAUUCCUGCAGCAUAAAGACUCCAUUCCGUAUUCCACCGGCGUCCCACGCCUCUCGCACGCCCCCCGGCACGCCGGGGCGAGCGACAUCUCGUGGCAUUCACGCCACGUGCAGCUCGAGUCGCUGCUGCGCCCUCGGGGCCCCGGGAUGGAUGAACGGGGGUCGGGCAGCGAGGUCUCUGGAGAGCGGUGGCGCAGCGGUGAGGUCACCCGCGCCACGUGCGUUCAACUUCUUUCGCGCCGGACGUAAGCCGGACCCUGCCCAUCGCGGCGAACGACCACGGCGAGCGCUCAUGCGCACUGAGCACCGCGACCCCAGCUCCAGCCGCGGCGUUCGCCGCCUCCUCCACCUCCACGUGGAGACCACGGAGUCUGUGCCGGGGUUACCACCUCCACGUGGAGACCACGGAGUCUGUGCCGGGGUCGCCACCUCCACGUGGAGACCACGGAGUCUGUGCCGGAGUGGAAGGAUGGGUGAUUGAGUUGGUGCCAAAUCAUUCCGGAGUGUCCCGCUCAAGCCCGGACAGGUGGACAGCGCCCUUCCAACCGGGCUCGGCGCGAGCCCACGACGCCGAGGGGCUUCCUUUGCCCCCCCCCCCAAAGUUGCAUUCCUCGACCACGUGACCCAAUUGUUUAUUUAAUUAAUUGCCCCCCCCCCCCCAACCUUCACAGACCCCCCCCCCCUACACCCCUCCCCCCGUUCGCAGUGUAGGAGCCUCACCACAUUGACAUUGACACAAUCAAUGUCCACUGACAGACACGCAUGCUAAUCCACUGCUGGACGAGUUCUCUCCCCGGUUACGGUGGGAGGCGCGAGGUGUACAACCACACAUCACCGGGCUGGUCGGUGAAGGCGGGGCUCAUAGGUAGACGUGGGAAGGGAGGCGGGGGCGCAUAGCGGUGCAGUACAACGAUGGGUGUCACGUGUACAGCUGUAACAAUCCUCCUCGUGGCUCCGUUCGGAAUGCACUGCGUGGGGGAGGGGGGGGGGGCUUAGCCGGGGAUCGAACCGACGCCCACGUGGUUCUCAGCCCCUGGGGCGAGGUCACUGUGGUCGCCACAGUCGAUAGAGGUGCG
Petromyzon marinus (sea lamprey) is the source of this 1298-nucleotide long non-coding RNA. RefSeq lists it as uncharacterized. Lineage: Eukaryota; Metazoa; Chordata; Hyperoartia; Petromyzontiformes; Petromyzontidae. The record is from RefSeq and is a predicted model, not a curated record.